RNAcentral lists this long non-coding RNA (620 nucleotides) under Apteryx rowi (Okarito brown kiwi). Its description in RNAcentral is "lncRNA (ENSARWG00000001114.1)". The record is from RNAcentral. Lineage: Eukaryota; Metazoa; Chordata; Aves; Apterygiformes; Apterygidae.
GUUAUGGUCGGGGCCACGUGCCGCCGGCUCAGCGGGUCACGCGGCCCGGCCUCGCGCCGCCCCCAACCGUCACCCCGCCGCCCCCAACCGUCGCCGCCCGCCCGCGGGGCUGCAGCGUCCCCGGGGCUGCGCGGAGGGCGCUUCCCUCCCCCGCAUCCCUAGCAAGGGGGGGAAGGGCCGGACAGGGGGGUGUCCGGCGGGGAUCAGGUGCUGGCUGCGGAUCCCCGUGCCUGCUAAAUCCCUCUGCCUGAGGGGAGGCAGGUGGGAGCCUUCUGCUGCUGGCCCUGGGAAGAGACCACAGCUCACGGCUAGCGAAUCUCUCUCCCUCUGCGCUCUCCUGCUGCUUGUUAGCUUGGAUUGAGCACUGUCCACAGAACUUCUCAUCAGCUCCCAGUACAGGCAGAGUGAAUUUGGAUCUCUCUGAAGAACCAGCCCAGAUUCAGGAUAUGUUUUUCUUCGUCCGAGUUAUAGUCAGGUCUUCAAGAUCAUUUUGUCGUUGUGUUGCUGCAACCAAUGCAGAUCCAAAUGCUGUGGCUACAAAGGCUUGUUACUUUCUUGCGCUGAAUCCUGCGAAUCCAAGAGCUACUUGGCAGUUUCCAAGGCAACCACCUGUGGAAUAA